Molecule: ribosomal RNA, 611 nt
Filed under: Bacillus sp. (in: firmicutes)
Lineage: Bacteria; Bacillati; Bacillota; Bacilli; Caryophanales; Bacillaceae
Description: bacterial SSU rRNA
Rfam family: Bacterial small subunit ribosomal RNA
Source: RNAcentral
UUAGCUAGUUGGUGAGGUAACGCCUCACCAAGGCGACGAUGCGUAGCCGACCUGAGAGGGUGAUCGGCCACACUGGGACUGAGACACGGCCCAGACUCCUACGGGAGGCAGCAGUAGGGAAUCUUCCGCAAUGGACGAAAGUCUGACGGAGCAACGCCGCGUGAGUGAUGAAGGUUUUCGGAUCGUAAAGCUCUGUUGUUAGGGAAGAACAAGUGCAAGAGUAACUGCUUGCACCUUGACGGUACCUAACCAGAAAGCCACGGCUAACUACGUGCCAGCAGCCGCGGUAAUACGUAGGUGGCAAGCGUUGUCCGGAAUUAUUGGGCGUAAAGGGCUCGCAGGCGGUUUCUUAAGUCUGAUGUGAAAGCCCCCGGCUCAACCGGGGAGGGUCAUUGGAAACUGGGAAACUUGAGUGCAGAAGAGGAGAGUGGAAUUCCACGUGUAGCGGUGAAAUGCGUAGAGAUGUGGAGGAACACCAGUGGCGAAGGCGACUCUCUGGUCUGUAACUGACGCUGAGGAGCGAAAGCGUGGGGAGCGAACAGGAUUAGAUACCCUGGUAGUCCACGCCGUAAACGAUGAGUGCUAAGUGUUAGGGGGUUUCCGCCCCUUAG